RNAcentral lists this transfer RNA (62 nucleotides) under Nitrospiraceae bacterium. RNAcentral describes it as "tRNA-Lys". It matches the Rfam family "tRNA", at positions 9 to 63 of the family's 71-position model. Rfam says of the family: Transfer RNA (tRNA) molecules are approximately 80 nucleotides in length. Their secondary structure includes four short double-helical elements and three loops (D, anti-codon, and T loops). Lineage: Bacteria; Pseudomonadati; Nitrospirota; Nitrospiria; Nitrospirales; Nitrospiraceae. The record is from RNAcentral.
AGCUCAAUUGGUAGAGCAAAUGACUCUUAAUCAUUAGGUUCUAGGUUCGAGCCCUAGAGGGA